AGCGAACGCUGGCGGCAGGCCUAACACAUGCAAGUCGAACGAACCUUUCGGGGUUAGUGGCGGACGGGUGAGUAACACGUGGGAACGUGCCUUUAGGUUCGGAAUAACUCAGGGAAACUUGUGCUAAUACCGAAUGUGCCCUUCGGGGGAAAGAUUUAUCGCCUUUAGAGCGGCCCGCGUCUGAUUAGCUAGUUGGUUGAGGUAAUGGCUCACCAAGGCGACGAUCAGUAGCUGGUCUGAGAGGAUGAUCAGCCACAUUGGGACUGAGACACGGCCCAAACUCCUACGGGAGGCAGCAGUGGGGAAUCUUGCGCAAUGGGCGAAAGCCUGACGCAGUCAUGCCGCGUGAAUGAUGAAGGGCUUAGGAUUGUAAAAUUCUUUCACCGGGGACGAUAAUGACGGUACCCGGAGAAGAAGCCCCGGCUAACUUCGU
Molecule: ribosomal RNA, 433 nt
Filed under: uncultured bacterium
Lineage: Bacteria
Description: partial 16S ribosomal RNA
Rfam family: Bacterial small subunit ribosomal RNA
Source: RNAcentral